UUAACUAUUAUAUAGUACUCAGACGACACUAAUAUUCAGAGUUUGGGGGUCCUCUGGCGGGCGCUUACCAGCCGGAGCCGGUAGCCUGACCGAGGCCUGACGGCCCGCCAAAGCAACAAAGGUAAUGAUAACAUAGGGUGGGAGAUCUACCCAUAAGGGCAUGAACUCUGUAAUGAUCCCUCCGCAGGUUCACCUACGGAAA
This 202-nucleotide unclassified non-coding RNA is filed under the name uncultured fungus. Its description in RNAcentral is "sequence contains ITS1". Lineage: Eukaryota; Fungi. The record is from RNAcentral.